AUAUCUCAAUUUUGGUUGAUUGCUUUAGGCUCAGUUUGGAACCCCGGGAAAGGAAAGGAAAAGAAAAGAAAAUUUAAAAAAUUUCCCUUUAAUUGUUUGGUUGGAAGAGAAAGAGCGAAGAAACUAAGAAUUUCAAGUGCAGUGAAUAGUAAAUUUUCCUGCCCAUUUUCCACCCAUUUUCCUUCUCUUUUAGUUUCGAGUACGGAAAUUUCGGAUGGUGAACAAGUAUUAUUGGAUUUUCGACGCUUUCUUGUACUAUGUUCCAAGGGAAGUAGAGGUGAAUUAUGCACCUAACUAUGCUGGUUGGUGUUCUGUUCCCACUUGCUUGUGGAAGGAUUUUGUUGUUUGGUUAGCUGAAGUGAGGAAAUUGACUUACAAUAUCUAACAUUGAUUUUCAGGAGGAUACAUCCGAGCUAGUCCUAACUCCUAUAUGAGAUUAUAUUGUUGACUAUAUUUAUCUAAUCUUACGAUGGCCAUAAUCGCCUAUGAAGAUGGAUCAUUCGAACAAUAACAGUACCCAUGUAUUCCCAUCUGAUGGGGGUAUGAGGGGUGAGGACUGGUGCCUGACCUACUUUUGUUUUGGCAUUAUAUGCACAAAGGGUUGCUCUCAUAAUAAAAACAUGGAAUGUAACAAGGAACUCGAGGGAUAUUAUAUCAUGGAACCAUGUCCCCAAAUCAACCAAAAAGCAUUGGUAGGCAGACCUAGUGAUCAGUUUCAAUUUAUGUGCUCGUUACCUUGCUUUCUUCAUUCAAUAUUCAGAGCAUUAGUAAUGCACACAAAAAAAAGGGCGUACCUAGUGAACAAAGACGGAAAUCAUGGUGAUGUAAUAAGACUCUUCAUCUACGUUCAGAUUGAGAUGAUUAGUCCAAUUACUUGUGUCUCAAUUUGUUCUUCGAACUAGCCGUCUAGUCUAGUGAUAAGGCCUUCCACUGCUGUUUGUACACAGAAAGGGUCAAUUGCUAUAUUUUAGGGGAACUAAUGAGAUUAAAAUUGAAAACCUUUUCUUUGGAUGCUCAGUUUCUGUAAAGGAGGAUUGAAGGGUCUGAUUUGCUUGAACCCUGGCUUUAUUUAAUGAAAUAUUGAACCUUACGUGGUUUCUUUCUGUUACAGUUUUAUUUUAGUAUGUUUGGGAUUUCUUUAGGCCUGAUUGUUUUGAUGUUAGUAUAACUCACAGCAGCUAAGUAUGCAGUUAAAGUGCUACUCUAUCCACCUCUAGUCAAAGGGAGGGAUGUAGUGUAUGAUAUAUCUCUACAAUAUGCAUAAGUUCUCUACCUGUAAGGCUGUAAUGUAUUUUUCUCACAUUUUCUGUCCUACAACACAUGCAAGAUCCUGUAAGUAAUGUGUCUAGACAGUGAGAAGUUGGCUUACGAUCCUCAGUGAUGGUUGGGAGCCUUGCAUUGUGAACCGAUGCAUUGUUGUGGCAAAUGAACCCACAAUUGAGGUAUUCUGUCCUGUUCUGCUCACAUGCAAGUUGGAGUCGUUGUGAAUUGAUACAUGAAGGGUCUGAAGAGGCCAUUAUAGCGGGAGCAAUGAUACCCUGACGGUACCAGUCAAUCCUUAACCUUUCUUGAACAAUUUGAUUGGAAAGAGGGUCAUUGUGAAACUCAAGUGGGGAAUGGAAUACAAAGGGUUGAGUUUUUCAAUGGUUGUUUGUUUCUGUACAUUUAAGUGAAUGUAUUUUCCUUUUCCUAUAUGUUUUCCUACUCUGGAGGUAUUAAGUCGUGAAUGCAUGCAUGUGUGGGUAUUCUUGAAAGCAUGUGAAUCGUUUGUUUCAUAUAAUGGGAUGAUUUACAGUUCCUCUGCUACCAUGUUGACAUGUUGUAUGGCUUAUGUGUUGUAAGAUUGUAUCAUGCUAUAAUAUCGUUACUGUUGAAGCAUAUUUAAUUAGUUUAGUGGAAGUUAAAACUACUUAUUCUUUUUUUGUUCUCAUGAUUCAUGUCAUGACAAUGCCUUGGCUAAGAAUUGUAUUUAGCUAAUUCUUCCUUAGCAUUUAUUCCGUUCGCUUGAAUCUUCCCAUGUCUAGCCCUUGAUCGAUGAAAGUGAGAUGGAUGAGGUUUAGAUAGCCAUAGAUCGGUAAUAUCCACCUUACUUGGACAAGUUUGUGUAUUACGAUUUCAUAUUUGUUGAUUGAAUCUAUUUGUGCAUGUGUGGUGUUGUUCUAAGAAUAGAUGGAUGUAGGUGUGCGUUUAGACAAACUGAUGGUUUAUAUUCAAAAGCAAUGAAAUUUUUGCUGUUAUUUUACAUUGGCUUUGGAUGUUCUGGUUCUUCUCAAUUCGAUUUGAAGUGCUUUGAGGCAUCAUAUUAUCUCCCUCUGAGAUAGGGGCAAGACUUUGACGCUACUUUAAUUGCUUAGGUCUCUCAGAUUCUGAAAUACUGUUAUUCUAGAUGUUUGGCGGUUGUUCUUCAAGGUGGAAAUAUAGGUCUCGUAGGAGGAAGUGUGCAUAUUUUUGAUGAGGUAUUAUAGUUGCCCAGAAUAAUAAAUAACACGUUUUCUUACCAUGACGGUUGUGGUUACAAACUUGCCCAUGGUUUGGGAAAUCAAUGUUUCUAAACUGAAUUUUGUGCAUCCAUUUAACCAAUUUUGCAGUGAUAUGUAAAGAGGAAAAGAGAUGCUUAGUCUUUUGCCUACAUCUUUGUGUCACACGCAUGGAACUGUAAAGUAUUCUUUUGCUUGACUUUUGAUGCUCCUAUUGGUAUAGCAGUAGUGUUUUUAUUAGUUUUGCGUUACUUAUAUUGUUUUUGUAGGACUGUUUAAUCGUGUUCCGUGGUUGGAGUUCAACAUCGAAUAGUGAUAUAAUAUCAUUUGCUUGGGGAAAAUGAAACAGAUCCUUAAGCUGGGUUUCCCCUGCAUGUUUUGUAUUACCUUUUAAUUUCUUUACAGAGAGGAUCUAUUUAGUCA
Molecule: long non-coding RNA, 2900 nt
Organism: Rhododendron vialii
Lineage: Eukaryota; Viridiplantae; Streptophyta; Magnoliopsida; Ericales; Ericaceae
Exons: 2
Source: RefSeq, a predicted model, not a curated record